RNAcentral lists this ribosomal RNA (507 nucleotides) under uncultured bacterium. Its description in RNAcentral is "bacterial SSU rRNA". It matches the Rfam family "Bacterial small subunit ribosomal RNA", at positions 8 to 518 of the family's 1533-position model. The record is from RNAcentral.
AGAGUUUGAUCAUGGCUCAGGAUGAACGCUGGCGGCGUGCUUAACACAUGCAAGUCGAACGGAGUUUUUAACGGAAGUUUCGGAUGGAAGUUAAGAACUUAGUGGCGGACGGGUGAGUAACGCGUGGGUAACCUGCCUCAUACAGGGGGAUAACAGUUAGAAAUGACUGCUAACACCGCAUAAUAUAGUGAAACCGCAUGAUUUUGCUAUCAAAUAUUUAUAGGUAUGAGAUGGGCCCGCGUCUGAUUAGCUAGUUGGUGGGGUAAAGCCUACCAAGGCGACGAUCAGUAGCCGGCUUGAGAGAGUGACCGGCCACAUUGGGACUGAGACACGGCCCAAACUCCUACGGGAGGCAGCAGUGGGGAAUAUUGGACAAUGGGGGAAACCCUGAUCCAGCGAACCGCCGCGUGAGUGAAGAAGUAUUUCGGUAUGUAAAGCUCUAUCAGCAGGGAAGAUAAUGACAGUACCUGACUAAGAAGCCCCGGCUAACUACGUGCCAGCAGCCGC